Molecule: ribosomal RNA, 468 nt
Filed under: uncultured bacterium
Lineage: Bacteria
Description: partial 16S ribosomal RNA
Rfam family: Bacterial small subunit ribosomal RNA
Source: RNAcentral
GACGAACGCUGGCGGCGUGCUUAACACAUGCAAGUCGAACGGAAAGGCCCUGCUUUUGUGGGGUGCUCGAGUGGCGAACGGGUGAGUAACACGUGAGUAACCUGCCCUUGACUUUGGGAUAACUUCAGGAAACUGGGGCUAAUACCGUAUAGGAGCUCCUGCUGCAUUGUGGGGGUUGGAAAGUUUCGGCUGGUGGGGAUGGACUCGCGGCUUAUCAGCUUGUUGGUGGGGUAGUGGCUUACCAAGGCUUAGACGGGUAGCCGGCCUGAGAGGGUGACCGGCCACAUGGGGACUGAGAUACGGCGCAGACGCCUACGGGAGGCAGCAGUGGGGAAUAUUGCACAAUGGGCGGAAGCCUGAGGCAGCAACGCCGCGGUCGGGAUGACGGCCUUCGGGUUGUAAACCGCUUUCGCCUGUGACGAAGCGGGAGUGACGGUAAUGGGUAAAGAAGCACCGGCUAACUACGUG